GUGGAAGUAGCCUAACAGGUAAAGCACUGGAAUGAAAAUCCAGUUUAGAUGGUUCGAGUCCAUCCUUCCGCGCAA
This 75-nucleotide transfer RNA is filed under the name Treponema ruminis. RNAcentral describes it as "tRNA-Phe". It matches the Rfam family "tRNA". Rfam says of the family: Transfer RNA (tRNA) molecules are approximately 80 nucleotides in length. The record is from RNAcentral. Lineage: Bacteria; Pseudomonadati; Spirochaetota; Spirochaetia; Treponematales; Treponemataceae.